GACGAACGCUGGCGGCGUGCCUAAUACAUGCAAGUUGAGCGAUGAAGAUUGGUGCUUGCACCAAUUUGAAGAGCAGCGAACGGGUGAGUAACGCGUGGGGAAUCUGCCUUUGAGCGGGGGACAACAUUUGGAAACGAAUGCUAAUACCGCAUAACAACUUUAAACAUAAGUUUUAAGUUUGAAAGAUGCAAUUGCAUCACUCAAAGAUGAUCCCGCGUUGUAUUAGCUAGUUGGUGAGGUAAAGGCUCACCAAGGCGAUGAUACAUAGCCGACCUGAGAGGGUGAUCGGCCACACUGGGACUGAGACACGGCCCAAACUCCUACUGGAGGCAGCAGUAGGGAAGCUUCGGCAAUGGACGAAAGUCUGACCGAGCAACGCCGCGUGAGUGAAGAAGGUUUUCGGAUCGUAAAACUCUGUUGGUAGAGAAGAACGUUGGUGAGAGUGGAAAGCUCAUCAAGUGACGGUAACUACCCAGAAAGGGACGGCUAACUACGUG
This 497-nucleotide ribosomal RNA is filed under the name uncultured bacterium. RNAcentral describes it as "partial 16S ribosomal RNA". It matches the Rfam family "Bacterial small subunit ribosomal RNA", at positions 28 to 507 of the family's 1533-position model. The record is from RNAcentral.